UGGUGAAAUUUACAAGGCAGCAGGAUU
This 27-nucleotide non-coding RNA is filed under the name Mus musculus (house mouse). The record is from RNAcentral. Lineage: Eukaryota; Metazoa; Chordata; Mammalia; Rodentia; Muridae.